UUUUGUCCUCAGAUUGGGGCCACAUCUCUUCCAUAGAAGGGAGAAGAACAUAGUCCUGUCGAGAGCAGAAAGAACCUCUUCCAACUGGCCGUCUGAAGACUCACCUAUCCUCACUCAUCCUGUGACAGGAAGUCAGGGAGAGGCCAGAAGACAUACUUUACAUGGACAUUUAAGGAGGCUUAGACAACUUUGAAAGCUUCUGUUGGUGAA
RNAcentral lists this long non-coding RNA (210 nucleotides) under Chinchilla lanigera (long-tailed chinchilla). RNAcentral describes it as "lncRNA (ENSCLAG00000024356.1)". Lineage: Eukaryota; Metazoa; Chordata; Mammalia; Rodentia; Chinchillidae. The record is from RNAcentral.